RNAcentral lists this long non-coding RNA (278 nucleotides) under Phoenix dactylifera (date palm). Its description in RNAcentral is "long non-coding RNA (PDAC_LNC014293)". Lineage: Eukaryota; Viridiplantae; Streptophyta; Magnoliopsida; Arecales; Arecaceae. The record is from RNAcentral.
UGUUCCCCAGGCGACGCUUCGAGAGGAGGAGAAACACAAUCGCAGCUGGCCACGGAGAAACCCCGUCGAGCGGCAAGUGAUAGGCGCGCGACCAACGAGCGGAAUUCCCCGAGGCUCGGCCCUCGGAUGCCAGGCUAACCCGAUGACCAUCUCGGGAGCAGACUAGCCUGAAGCCCCGACCGGUCGCCUCGGCUUGCGCCAGCCUUGGCCGACCAACGAGCGGAAUUCUCCGAGGCUCGGCCCUCGGAUGCCAGGCUAACCCGAUGACCAUCCCGGNN